CAACCGGAUAUGGAUUAAAUC
Molecule: microRNA, 21 nt
Filed under: Rosa chinensis
Lineage: Eukaryota; Viridiplantae; Streptophyta; Magnoliopsida; Rosales; Rosaceae
Description: sRNA RchiOBHm_Chr7g0196285
Source: RNAcentral